RNAcentral lists this unclassified non-coding RNA (266 nucleotides) under uncultured fungus. RNAcentral describes it as "partial contains 5.8S ribosomal RNA, internal transcribed spacer 2, and large subunit ribosomal RNA". The stretch from base 1 to 52 matches the Rfam family "5.8S ribosomal RNA", at positions 103 to 154 of the family's 154-position model. The record is from RNAcentral. RNAcentral also lists the same sequence under 2 other names. Lineage: Eukaryota; Fungi.
AACGCACAUUGCGCCCGCCAGUAUUCUGGCGGGCAUGCCUGUCCGAGCGUCAUUUCAACCCUCGAACCCCUCCGGGGGGUCGGCGUUGGGGAUCGGCCCUCCCUUAGCGGGUGGCCGUCUCCGAAAUACAGUGGCGGUCUCGCCGCAGCCUCUCCUGCGCAGUAGUUUGCACACUCGCAUCGGGAGCGCGGCGCGUCCACAGCCGUUAAACACCCAACUUCUGAAAUGUUGACCUCGGAUCAGGUAGGAAUACCCGCUGAACUUAA